GGAGGGUUGGCAGAGUUUGGUUUAAUGCGGCAGUCUUGAAAACUGUUGUGGGUCACACCACCGGGGGUUCGAAUCCCUCACCCUCCGCCA
This 90-nucleotide transfer RNA is filed under the name Trueperaceae bacterium. RNAcentral describes it as "tRNA-Ser". It matches the Rfam family "tRNA". Rfam says of the family: Transfer RNA (tRNA) molecules are approximately 80 nucleotides in length. Lineage: Bacteria; Thermotogati; Deinococcota; Deinococci; Trueperales; Trueperaceae. The record is from RNAcentral.